UUUGUCAGGCAAGCAAGGGAAAGGAGACUGUCUGGUGAGAGAUACUGGAUCAGCCAGCAAAAGCCUAGAAUGUCCCUAAACAGUCCCUAAAUAUGAGAAGCCAUGAGAGGUUGCUGAACUCUUCCUAAGAAGGUUAUACAUGUUCCAAAUCAAGCAACACUUUAAAACCUGCAGGAGGAUGGAGAGUGUUUGGGUGGACACCCAGGGGACAGAAGAGGAAGCUGCCAGGAGAACAGGUUAUGUAUCUCCUUUAAGCAGGGGUAGAAUCUAGUGUUGAAGUGUGUUAUUAUCAGAUUUUCUGUGGGUACUGGGGCAGAGAGAAGGGCAUGGGAAACCUCACCGUGGUAGCUGUAGGGGGAGACAAGGGUAUCAGAGAUUACCUGCCCCAUCCCACUCCAAAGCCUGUGGGCUGCCGGAGGCGCUGAUAUGGACACACACAGAGGGUGCACUGGCUUGUGAAGGGUGAGUAUGUGGGAACUAAGUUGUACCACUGUGGCCUACCAGCCCAGUCACUUGUGCUGGGGGCUCUUCCUGCUCCUGUCUUGCCCCGUGAUCCAGCCCAGCUCAAAUUUCCCCGGUUGAUGGGCAGCACAGACAGAAGACAGAAGCCCAAGCUAGAAUGUGGUCUUCUCAAACACAGCCUCACAGACUGUGGGGAACACAUGGAUUCUUGAAUAACAAUGAGGGGGCGGGGUAUACACAGCAGCCUAGCAUCCUCAUAGGGUGGGAGGAGAUAGGGAUCACACUUCUUGUCUGUGGAGGGCCAGAAGCCCCAAGAGGACCACGGAGUCAAAGCAGAAGCAACAGUUUCAGAACAGGGAGGAGUCAGACUGUGAGUCUCCAGGAGCAGCCAGCCGAGCCUGGCAAAGCAGCCUUGGUGGCUACUCCUGUGAACUGCUGCAGAAACAGGAGGGGCAGAGGUUGUAGGAGGUAGGGAGAAGGGGAAGGACUUUUAAGAAUGGGAAGUCUUAGCCAGACGUAGUAGCUGGCAUGCGUGAUCCCAGCACUCCGGCUCUCUGAUGCUGGCUCUGACGUGACAGGUCUGGGAGGGUCUUCGAUUCCGAAUUUGUCACAAGCUACCAAUGUCAAUGCUGCUGAUCCAGGAGCCAUACUAUGAGGGGCAAGGUUUAGAGUCAUCUAAAGGGAUGUAGAGGCCAGUUGGAAAAGAAUUCCUUUUGAGAAACCUGCUUUUGAUUAUUCUGUGAGUAAAGGCCAAGACCGUGAGAAGUCUGCGUGAGACUGGCAGUGCCCCUUCUUCCUCCUUCACAGGUGACAGGUGUUGAAAAACUGGGCAAAAAAGAGGGAGAGUAGAGACCCAGGAGGUCAGGAGAAGAGGCAGAGGAACUCUAGUGUCACUGGGGUCCUUUCUGUGGAUCAGUGCUAGGCAGGAUAUUAAGGGCUGACGUGGAGCAUCCCCCAUCUCACCCCCAGGAAGGUGAAGAUCUCAGAGUGCAAAGAGCAGCAUGAACAAGGCCACCCAACCUUUUGCUGUUCUGCAGGAAACUGCUGGACUCAAACCAAGGUUUGCUGAUAGCCCCAAGGUCGAAGGCCAGAUGAUUUCUGUGCAGAUAUAAAAGAUGAACGGACUCAGAAAGAAGGCUGGAGAAAAGGAGGUGAGCUGGACUUAGGUUUAAGAGCCCAGCUCACCUGAGCCUUUCAGAAACGUCUACUUGCUUUCAGAAGCAAGAGAUUUCUCAAAAACUCAGGUGGGAAUGUAAACUUAAGUUUAGGUAAUCCAGGGACAGGAACAAGAAUGGGAGGUGCAGGACUCGGGUAGCUCAGCUUGCCUGGGGCCGCAUCUUCACCACAAGGUGAGAGACCCUUAAGCGCUAAGGCGCGGAGGUUAAGCCGAGGUCAAGUGGCACCAAGGGUGCAGCGACUCCUAGAAUCAAGCGUUGGCUGAGGAGAGGGCGGCGCAUACUUAGGAGAAGAAGAUGGGACCACAAAGAUGCUGGAGCUUCGUCUGGUGGCGACGGGGAGGCCGUGGUGAUUCCCCAGCGUGGUGUGGACGAGCUGCCCUGCUUAGGCCGGGCUUCCUCGCCGCGCAGCCCCCAGCCCAUCCUUUCCCCAUCUUCCCUGGCCUGGGCCAGCUUCCCGGCGCCCCUCCACCGAGGCCGUGGCCCCCAGCCCGGCUACGGACUCGUCAGGGUCCGCCCCGCCGCCGCGGCCCCAGCCCGGCCGCUCCUCCCCCGAUGAUGUCACGUCCCUGGCCGCCCCUCGGCCGGCCUCGCGCCCCGCCCCCGCCUCCCCUGGCCCCGAGUCCCCUGGGCCCACCCGCUUGCGACAGCCCUCCUCUUGCCCGUGCUCCCUCCCUACGGCUCCCGCUCCCCAGGGAGCGGCGGCGGCGGCGGGAUGGCCAGGGCCCGCGGCCAGGCCCCGGGGAGCGGCGGGCGGCGGCGGCCGCGGCGGGGAGGCGCGGGGACCGGGCCCCGGGGGGACUCGGCCGGUCUGCUGCUGCUCCUGCUGCAGGUGCUGCCGCCCGGGGCAGCGGCAGGCCCGGGGCGCCGGGGCACUCGGGGGCCUGGCGGCGGCUGCGUCUGCUGGCCCGGCGCCGGCCCUGCUUUUCCACGGGACGCGCGUCUGCUGCUGUUGCUGCCGCCCCGGCCACCACCGUCGCCGCCGCCGACCUCCACGGCCGCAGCCUCCCCCUCUCGGAUGGACGCUCUGCCCCGCGGUGGGCUCCAUCUGAAAGAGGAGCCGCUGCUGCCCUCCAGCCUGGGCUCGGUGCGCUCCUGGAUGCAGAGCGCGGGCAUCCUGGACUCCAACACCGCGGCGCAGAGUGGCGUGGGCCUGGCAAGAGCACAUUUUGAAAAGCAGCCCCCCUCCAACCUCAGGAAGUCCAACUUCUUCCACUUCGUGCUGGCCAUGUACGACCGGCAGGGGCAGCCCGUGGAGGUGGAGCGCACAGCCUUCAUCGACUUCGUGGAAAAGGAUCGAGAGCCUGGGACGGAAAAGACAAACAACGGGAUCCAUUACCGCCUUCGGCUGGUGUAUAAUAAUGGACUUCGGACAGAGCAAGACCUCUACGUGCGCCUUAUUGACUCCAUGUCGAAGCAGGCUAUCAUCUAUGAGGGACAGGACAAGAAUCCUGAGAUGUGCCGAGUGCUGCUCACUCAUGAGAUCAUGUGCAGCCGGUGCUGUGACCGCAAGAGCUGUGGUAACCGGAAUGAGACGCCUUCUGAUCCAGUCAUUAUUGACAGGUUCUUCCUCAAAUUCUUUCUCAAAUGCAACCAGAACUGCUUGAAGAAUGCCGGGAAUCCCCGAGACAUGCGCCGCUUCCAGGUGGUGGUGUCCACGACCGUGAGUGUGGAUGGCCAUGUGCUGGCUGUGUCGGACAACAUGUUUGUGCACAACAACUCCAAGCAUGGACGCAGAGCCCGACGCCUGGACCCUUCUGAAGCUGCCACCCCCUGCAUCAAGGCCAUCAGCCCAGGGGAGGGCUGGACCACGGGAGGCGCCACCGUCAUUAUCAUCGGAGACAACUUCUUCGACGGGUUGCAGGUCGUGUUUGGCAACGUGCUCCUGUGGAGCGAGCUCAUCACUCCCCAUGCUAUCCGGGUGCAGACACCACCCCGACACAUCCCUGGGGUAGUAGAAGUGACCCUCUCCUACAAGUCCAAGCAGUUCUGUAAAGGAGCCCCUGGCCGCUUUGUCUACACAGCCCUGAAUGAACCCACCAUUGACUACGGAUUCCAGAGGCUCCAGAAAGUUAUUCCCAGACACCCCGGAGACCCUGAGAGGCUACCCAAGGAAGUGCUGCUGAAAAGGGCGGCUGACUUGGCGGAGGCCCUGUACGGAGUGCCCAGCAGUAACCAGGUAUGGCGCCUCUGCCCGCCUCCCAGCGCGAGGGGCCGGGGCUCUGAUCCUGCGCCUGCCGCUGCCCCGGCCGUGCCCCGUUCUUGUCUUCGCAGGAGCUCCUCCUGAAACGUGCGGCGGACGUGGCCGAGGCUCUGUACAGCGCCCCGCGCGCGCCUGCACCACUCGGACCCCUGGCCCCCAGCCACCCGCACCCCGCCGUCGUGGGUAUCAAUGCCUUCAGCAGCCCUCUGGCCAUCGCCGUCGGGGAUACCACACCGGAGCCGGGCUAUGCCCGUAGCUGCGGCAGCGCGUCUCCCCGGUUCGCGCCCAGCCCCGGCUCUCAGCAGAGCAGCUAUGGCAGUGGCCUUGGAGCCGGCCUCGGUAGCUAUGGCGCGCCUGGUGUGACUGGCCUUGGCGUGCCCGGGUCCCCUAGCUUCCUCAAUGGCUCCACCGCAACCUCACCUUUCGCCAGAAGACCACAUCCCAGGGAGGCCUGAGCCAGCAGCCUGGUCUGCAGGGACUCACUGCCCACGUGACACCGCAACCCUGCUGCUCACUCUGGUGCCGUCUCCCUGUUGUGUCUCCCACUGCCUUCCUUGCCGCACCUGCCCCUUCCUCGCCCCGCCCCGGAGUCAUGCCCUCUAGCCCCCCGCUGGCGGCUGCCUCCUCCAUGUCCCUUCCGGCCGCCGCCCCCACCACCAGCGUCUUCUCCUUCUCGCCUGUCAACAUGAUCUGCGCUGUCAAGCAGAGGAGCGCCUUCGCCCCUGUGCUGCGCCCACCCAGUUCCCCAUCGCAGGCCUGCCCCAGAGCCCACAGAGAGGGGCUUCCAGACCAGCCUUUUGAAGAUACUGACAAGUUCCACUCUGCAGCCCGGGGACUCCAGGGCUUGGCAUACUCCUAAUUAUGGUCCGCAGGUGCUGUCCCCAACAGGGCUGGACUGGAGGUCUUUCUGGACUCACGUUCGUGGCCGGAUGGCAGGGCUUCGGGUGGACCUCGACCCCUGGGAUACACAGGGAGAGGCCUUCACCUCUGUGCUGGAGGCCCCUCACACCCACAGACCCUCAUACUUACCUCUCUUUCUCGGGACACAUUAGAACCUCAGCACUGUGAGGACGCUCUUGGCAGGAGAGCAUCGUAGGGAGGAGGUGUUGGGAUGUCGGGCCUUACUACUGGAUCAAUUCCUCUAUAAGAGGAAUUUUGUGCAGACCAGGGAUGUUGGUAAGAUGAGCAAGAACUGAGAACUGUGGGAAAGAGGACAGCUCAGGGAGAGGUCAUCUAGAGAGGCCCUGUUUGCAUCUGACCAAUCAUACCUGACCUAAUAGCCGCCUUCUCUCCUGCCAGCAAGGUGUCUAGCAGUCUCAGGAGGCCCAUUCAGGCUCCCAUGGAGCUGCCCACGAGCCACUGGACCCCAUUGGCUGCCUUCACUUCCUCCUCUGAGAGUAGCACAUUCAUGCUGAUCAUAUCCCACCUCCCUUUGGGGGUUUUAGGCAUGGAAGAUGCACAGAAGGGCCUCCUGGAUUUUGACUCUGACCCCAAUAGAUGUUUCAUGAAAUUUGUCCCCCUACCACCACACACCCAGCUCUAGCUGGCCCCAAAGAACAGCCUGGCCAUGCCUUGGUGGCCUCACACUCUGAUGAGUUUGGACAAAAUGGAACAAUAAAACCAGAUGCAGGUGGCCACGUGGCCUCUUGUGCCUGC
Mus musculus (house mouse) is the source of this 5496-nucleotide RNA transcript. It is a transcript of the gene named early B cell factor 4, with no coding region annotated. The record is from RefSeq and is marked validated. The transcript has 17 exons. NCBI's taxonomy places the organism in Eukaryota, Metazoa, Chordata, Mammalia, Rodentia, Muridae.